This 433-nucleotide ribosomal RNA is filed under the name uncultured bacterium. RNAcentral's name for it is "partial 16S ribosomal RNA". It matches the Rfam family "Bacterial small subunit ribosomal RNA", at positions 29 to 507 of the family's 1533-position model. The record is from RNAcentral.
AACGAACGCUGGCGGCAUGCCUAACACAUGCAAGUCGAACGAGACCUUCGGGUCUAGUGGCGCACGGGUGCGUAACGCGUGGGAACCUGCCCUUAGGUUCGGAAUAACUCCCCGAAAGGGGUGCUAAUACCGGAUAAUGUCUUCGGACCAAAGAUUUAUCGCCUUUGGAUGGGCCCGCGUUGGAUUAGCUAGUUGGUAGGGUAAAAGCCUACCAAGGCGACGAUCCAUAGCUGGGCUGAGAGGAUGAUCAGCCACACUGGGACUGAGACACGGCCCAGACUCCUACGGGAGGCAGCAGUGGGGAAUAUUGGACAAUGGGCGAAAGCAUGAUCCAGCAAUGACGCGUGAGUGAUGAAGGCCUUAGGGUUGUAAAGCUCUUUUACCCGGGAUGAUAAUGACAGUACCGGGAGAAUAAGCUCCGGCUAACUCCGUG